CAUGGAAUAGUUACCAUCCUAGAGAAGGUGCUAGAAGAUACAGGGGAAUGAUAAGAGUCAUCCAAGAAAGAAAUGUGUGUUUGUGUGUGUGUGUGUGUGAGUAUGUGUGUAUACUCGUGUGUGUAUGUAUGUAUACUCAUGCGUGUAUGUAUGUAUAUGCGUGUGUGGUGUGUGUGUAUGUAUGUAUACUCGUGUGUGUGUAUGUAUAUUCGUGUGUGUGUGUGUGUGUGUUUGUAUUUCUGACAUAUCCAUAUAUCCAGUUGAGUAUUUGCAGAGUGAUGUGAGCAUGACAUGGUUAAUGAUUAAAAUCCAAAUUAGGUUUCAUCAGGAAAAUUAAAAUAAUUUAAAAAAUAAUAAUACAACACAGCAAAUGGUCUGGCUGUGUUUCCUACUUUUAUUCAUAAUACUAAUUUAUAUCAUUAUAAAUUAUGUGUAAGGGUGUCUACCUUGUCAAGCCUAUGUUUGUAAAGAAGAAAGCAUUUUGUAUCUCACACCAAGAAACCAAUUCCACUGAAUUGUAUGUGAGUUAAUAUUCAAGGCAAAAAAGACCAAUUUAAAUCAAUACAUAAUUAACCUUGAUAUUAGAAUUGAGAAUGAAAGCCCAGUUUAGAGUGUUGAGCAUGAUUUUCUUAAUGAUAUGAACAGUGUGUUUAGUCUUUAUGAAGAAAAAAAUAAAGGGAAGAAACACUGGAUGGAAAGAGGAGAGAAGUAGGUAAAGGCAUUUCAGAAAUAUGGUUAAUUGGGUAAUUGGGGAUUGGGUGUCACUUGAACUUAAGCCUGUGGUUAAUUCAUGGCUUAUUCUUCAGGAAUGACAUUGGCAGAGCAGUUAUUGGAAUAAUGAAUUGCUCACUUGUCCUGGGCAAAUAGAAAAUUCCCCUGGUUGAAUAAAACAGUGGGAGGAGGCAUUUGAUAGGCUUAUAAUGGCUUAAGAGCCUGGGUUAGGGUUCUUCCCCUGACAGUCAGAAAAGAGAACUUUGGGGGAUUGGAUAUUUUCAGCAAAGGGGCAAAAUUAAGAAAGGAUUAUAAUCACCUUUUUUUUUUUUUUACGGGAAUUGACAUUGAUACUUAAAGCAUUUUCAAAAUGAACGUCAAAAACAGAGUUAAGCAGCAGAAUAUUAAGUCAAGGUAGGGGGCUGAUAUAAUAAGGAGUUUGAGGAAUUUUAGAGGAAAAGUAGUCGAUAUAAAGGCCAACUUAGUCAAGUGUCAAUUAUUCCCGUUUUAAAAAUAGAGUAGUGUAUACCCUUAUUCAUGGGGAAUACAUUCCAAGACCUCCAGUAGAUGCCUGAAACCUCAGAUCAUACCAAGUCUUAUACAUAUUAUGUUUUUCCUAUACAAAUAUACCUGUGCUAAAGCUUAACUUAUAAAUUAAGCACAGUAAGAGAUUAACAACAAUAAAAAAUAGAACAAUUAUAAUAAUAUACUCUAGUAGAAGUUAUUUGAAUGUUGUCUUUCUCCUCUCUCUCUCUCUCUCUCUCUCUCUCUCUCUCUCUCUCUCUCUCUCUCUCAAAAUAUCUUGUACUGGCUGGGCAUGGUGGCUCACACCUAUAACACCAACAAUUUGGGAGGCCAAAGUAGGAGGAUUGCUUGAGCCCAGGAGUUCAAGACUAGCCUGAAAAAAUAGUGAGACCAAUCGCUACAAAAAAUAUAUAUAUAUACAAAAAAUUAGCUGGGCAUGGUGGCAUGUGCCUGUGAUCCCAGCUACUCAGGAGGCUGAGGCUGGAGAAUCGGUUGAAUCAGGGAGGUUGAGGCUGCAGUGAGCCGUGAUCCUGCCACUGUACUCCAGCCUGGGUGAUAAAAUGAGACCCUACCUCAAAAAAAUUCACAACAAAACAAAAAAUAUACAAGCAAUAUCCUGUACAGUGCUCACUCUUCUUUUUCUUGUGAUGAUGAAAAAUGAUAAACCGUGUGUGCAAAGAGAUGACGUGAUGAAGCGGGACAGCUCAGGAUUUCAUCACACUACUCUGAAAGGCACAUAAUUUAAAACUUAUGAAUUGUUUAUUUCUGGAAUUUUCUAUUUAAUAUUUUUGAACCAUAGUUGACCACAGGUAACUGAAACCACAGAAAGCAAAACCACAGAUAAGUAGGGACUACUGUAAAAAGAGAAAUAGUUCCAUAAACUUUCAAUGUUAACUUUUUUAGCCCCAAAGUUUAGAAGAUUCAGAGGAGAAAGAUUUUCCCAGUCAAAAAGCUUCUGCCCAAACUCAGACUUUUCAGAUAUCUUGUUGAAGGCAAAUUUCCAUGUUAUUUCAAUGGCAAAUGGCAGACCCUUGGACCAACCACCAAAGAUACUCAAUUAUUUCCAUUAAUGCAGUGAAGGGACUAGAAAUUCAUUACCCAAAAUUCCCCCCAAAAAAAGACCUACAUUGGGAACUCUGAGGAUUUUGUUUGUUUGUUUGAUUUGUUUCUAAUAUGGCUUCGUGGCAUCUUGUGUUUCGGGGAUGAUGUAAACUAUAUCAUAAUCACUAUCAUUGUCAUUGUUGAUUCUCUUAGUCUUUUAGAGUGGACAAAAGGCUCUCGUCCAUGGGUCUACCCUCCCCUUCUCACCUACCAUUUUCUCCUCAUCCUCGUAUGUAAAUACUGAGAACCUACUCUAACCACAAAGCCAGUCAUUCAGGACCCAUUGCCUCAGGCUGGAUGCUGCAGUCUUUUGGAUGGAACCCAGGAAUCUGGAUUCCUAACUGGAACCCUGGAGGAUGGUUACACACGUCGAAGUUUGAGAACAUCCCUCUAUUCCACCCACCACAUUGCAUCACAUGGCAGAAUGAGAAAAGAUUGAUCUUUGAACAAUUCCCCAUUUUGAUUGGAUCAUCAAAAUCCUAUCUGCACAAUCCUCCAUGUCUAAACACACACUCCUAAAGGAAGCAAAGCAAAACAACAACAGCAAUAACAAAAAACAUGGCACUAGUAACUCAGAGUGGAAAACAUGACUCUGCUGUUCAGUGGUUAGAACCAGCUGGAUGCAAGAUCCUCUGGUCGGAUUUUAUGUGUGCCCAGCCUGUGAGCCUUAGGAAGGAGGUCAGUUGGUUUCUUUUUCUUGGCCAACUAGAUUGGAAACAAAACAAAACAAAAUAAAAUGCUGAUAUGCUGAGUUAUGACAAACUGAGACACAUGUCAUGAGAGGAAAAAUGACAGCUUUACUGCUGCAGUGAUUACAAAAAACACAGCAAAUUAACCACCAAUAUGGCUUUGUAUGUAGAGUGAAACAACUUUAUUGCACUGUAAAUUGGAGACCUAGAACAUAUUUUAGGAGUGUCACACCUGAAAAGCUGACGAUUUUCCCCAAAUUGCUAUUAAUAUUUUUUUAUUUUUAUUAGUUUUAUUUUCCACCCAACUGAAAGCUGAAACUAGAAUUAUUUUUCCUCCCUAGAAAAAUUUUAUUUUGUAGAGUUGGACAUUUUCUUUAUUACGUUGUCUCUGUAAGAGUUACUUAGCUAUAAUAAAACAGUCAUAUUUAUAACU
This 3459-nucleotide long non-coding RNA is filed under the name Homo sapiens (human). RNAcentral's name for it is "HSALNT0401867". Lineage: Eukaryota; Metazoa; Chordata; Mammalia; Primates; Hominidae. The record is from RNAcentral.